CUAAUGGGCCUGGAGUUCGAAUUCUUCGACUUCUCCAGCCUCAGAGCAGGGGCAACACAGCCCAUGGACGUACAAUCUUCCCUUCAAAGGACUCGUUAAUAUUCUUCAACUCUUCAGAGAGAUCAGCUCUGGGGACAAAAGGGGAAUUGAGUCUCCAUGGCCAAUUCACUCCUUGGCCUCC
Molecule: small RNA, 181 nt
Filed under: Chrysemys picta bellii (western painted turtle)
Lineage: Eukaryota; Metazoa; Chordata; Testudines; Emydidae
Description: TUC338 (ENSCPBG00000000435.1)
Source: RNAcentral